RNAcentral lists this transfer RNA (89 nucleotides) under Clostridiales bacterium. RNAcentral describes it as "tRNA-Ser". It matches the Rfam family "tRNA". Rfam says of the family: Transfer RNA (tRNA) molecules are approximately 80 nucleotides in length. Their secondary structure includes four short double-helical elements and three loops (D, anti-codon, and T loops). Lineage: Bacteria; Bacillati; Bacillota; Clostridia; Eubacteriales. The record is from RNAcentral.
GGAGAGGUGUCCGAGAGGUUUAAGGAGCUAGUCUUGAAAACUAGUGAUUCUGAAAGGAACCGUGGGUUCGAAUCCCACCCUCUCCGCCA